Molecule: ribosomal RNA, 475 nt
Filed under: uncultured bacterium
Lineage: Bacteria
Description: bacterial SSU rRNA
Rfam family: Bacterial small subunit ribosomal RNA
Source: RNAcentral
CGGACGAACGCUGGCGGCGUGCCUAACACAUGCAAGUCGAGCGGAGUUUAGCAGUUAGCUUGCUAACAGUUAAACUUAGCGGCGGACGGGUGAGUAACGCGUGAGGAACCUGCCUUACAGAGGGGGAUAACACAUCGAAAGGUGUGCUAAUACCGCAUGAAAUCAUAGUACCGCAUGGUAGAAUGAUCAAAGGAGUAAUCCGCUGUAAGAUGGUCUCGCGUCUGAUUAGCUAGUUGGUGAGGUAAUGGCUCACCAAGGCGACGAUCAGUAGCCGACCUGAGAGGGUGAUCGGCCACAUUGGGACUGAGACACGGCCCAGACUCCUACGGGAGGCAGCAGUGGGGAAUAUUGCGCAAUGGGGGAAACCCUGACGCAGCAACGCCGCGUGAAGGAAGAAGGUCUUCGGAUCGUAAAUUUUUGUCUUCUGGGAAGAAAGAUGACGGUACCAGAGGAGGAAGCCACGGCUAACUACGUG